UUGAACGCUGGCGGCAUGCUUUACACAUGCAAGUCGAACGGUAACAGGCCUUCGGGUGCUGACGAGUGGCGAACGGGUGAGUAAUGCAUCGGAACGUACCCAGAGGUGGGGGAUAACGCAGCGAAAGCUGUGCUAAUACCGCAUGUGAUCUGAGGAUGAAAGCGGGGGACCGAGCAGCAAUGUUUGGCCUCGCGCCUUUGGAGCGGCCGAUGUCGGAUUAGCUAGUUGGUGGGGUAAAGGCCUACCAAGGCGACGAUCCGUAGCUGGUCUGAGAGGACGACCAGCCACACGGGGACUGAGACACGGCCCAGACUCCUACGGGAGGCAGCAGUGGGGAAUUUUGGACAAUGGGCGCAGGCCUGAUCCAGCAAUGCCGCGUGCGGGAAGAAGGCCUUCGGGUUGUAAACCGCUUUUGGCAGGAACGAAACGGUGUCCGCUAAUACCGGGCGCUAAUGACGGUACCUGCAGAAUAAGCACCGGCUAACUACGUG
This 491-nucleotide ribosomal RNA is filed under the name uncultured bacterium. RNAcentral describes it as "partial 16S ribosomal RNA". It matches the Rfam family "Bacterial small subunit ribosomal RNA", at positions 29 to 507 of the family's 1533-position model. The record is from RNAcentral.